RNAcentral lists this ribosomal RNA (254 nucleotides) under uncultured bacterium. Its description in RNAcentral is "partial 16S ribosomal RNA". It matches the Rfam family "Bacterial small subunit ribosomal RNA", at positions 524 to 776 of the family's 1533-position model. The record is from RNAcentral.
UACGGGGGGAGCAAGCGUUGUUCGGAUUUACUGGGCGUAAAGGGCGCGUAGGCGGCCACGACAAGUCAGUUGGGAAAUCUCUGGGCUUAACUCAGAACGGUCAACUGAUACUGUCGGGCUAGAGUGCAGAAGGGGCAACUGGAAUUCUCGGUGUAGCGGUGAAAUGCGUAGAUAUCGAGAGGAACACCUGCGGCGAAGGCGGGUUGCUGGGCUGACACUGACGCUGAGGCGCGAAAGCUAGGGGAGCGAACGGG